UUGUUUUUGUGCCAAAACCUUAUCAAACCAUAACAAUACUGUACAAUACAUAUUAUAUUUUAAUUAUUAGUUAAUUUUCCACAAAUGUGAUUUGAAACGGUUUUGACAGGCAGUGACAAAUUACGUCAUCCUGCCAAUAGGGACAUCAGUACACCAACAGCUGCACCUCCAGUCAUAAGUCCGUCACGCUUCUGAAGUGUGUGGACAGCACCAUCCUUACUGGGCUAAUCUCUGGUAGGGAUGAGUCCACCUACAGGUGGGAAAUUGACAAUCUGGUGACUUGGUGUGGACAAAACAACUUGAAGUUCAACGCUUGUAUCAUUGGUUCCCCUGAGAAGGUGAUCGGCUGCAAUCUCCCAACCUCCAGGACCUAUACACCUGCAGUAAGGUCAGGUAAGCAGAAAAGAUUGUUGCCAACCCCUACCACCUCAGACACAAACUAAUUUAGACACUCCCCCCGGCAGGAGGCUGCAGCCCAUCAGGAUCAAAAUCUCACGCCACAAGAACAGUUUGUUCUGAGCUGGCCUCAUCAACGUGGCCUGGGACACGGACAUGGACUAAGAUGGACUCUUAUCCGCCCCUCUCCCCAACAGUUAAACACUACACAUUACAUGCUCACCAGACUAUUCUCCUAAAAAAUAGGCAGGUGUGGCUAUAAUGCUGUAAAGGGUCGUCGGCCAUGCGGGGCCAGGCCACGUAGCAGAGGGUCCUGCGGGGCAGAGUUCGGGUGGUGGAGAAGUAGCAGAGAGGGAAGGCCAGAACCACAGCCAGGCUCCAGAUACAGACGAUGACUCCUGUGGUGGCCUUCGCUGAAAGACGAGGCUUCAGGGGAUGGAUGAUGGCCAUGUACCUGCAGUUCUCCCUGCGUUGCAGUUUACAUAUAUCACUACACUUGAAGCUCUAAUGAUGUGACAUCCAAAGCUUCAACACAAGAACAAAAAAGUGCCUAAGGAAACACACUUGGAAGCACAGAGAGUGAGCAGGAAGGACAAAUUCACAGAUGAUCAUGAACUGUGGCCUCACGCCAUUUCAAGACAUCAGAGCGGAGACAGCACCAUACUGGGGUUUCGAAAAGCAUGACCCGAGGUUACAUCUACAUCAUGUAGGUCAUGCCAAUGUUCUCUUUCUCAGUACACAGUUGACAGAAUCGAAUGGACACUGCAGACCAAAAAUACAAAAGCAUGGAUGUUGCUGUAGAGGAGCCAAAAUGAGCACGCCCUCAGGAAAUGCAUUGUUCCCUUUUUGUGUCAAGAAGAAGUACAGGAGGAGAAAACACCUUGCAGAAAACGACAACACACUUUGACUCUUGUACACUAUCUGUAGACACACACGGCGUGUGCAUGCAGCUUCUUUUUGUUUUCAUUAUGUUCGGCCUGUGGCUGCCUCCUUCAUCAGUCUAAUCCCUUUAUUCAAACAUUAUGACGUAUGAUGGACCACUGAUCAGUAUCAAAGGCCGGCAGAUACUGAUGACUGCAUCACCACAUUACUGGAAACCACAGGGGCAGGAACAGAGAAAGAGAUGGAGGAACAAAGGAAAAAAGAGUAAAGAAGAUAAAUAACACGAGUGCAUGUGACAGAGAACAAGAGAGUCAGAGAGCGUAAAAGCAUUGAGGAAAGGAUGAUCUUUCCUAGGGUGUUGGCACAGAAGGAAUCACUGCAUCACAGACACUUAGCGAAACAACAGCUGCAGUAUAUGAUUCCCUAGCAGUAAAAUAAAUGUAAAAAUAAACAUGGGGCCCAUUUGUCACCCUGCUGUGCAACCUCCUUUCCAGUAUCACAAUGCAAAUCACAAACAAGGAAUUUCCCACUCCACCAGUGAAAUACAUGUAUGCUUGAAUCAGCAGGGAGCACAAGCUCUGAUGAAAUAAUGUGGGGAGGAAGCAUAAAGCCCAAAAUAUGCCAUCAUUGGAAUUUAAAUUAAACUAAUGGGGACUCCAUGCAAGGAAGUUCUUGCAUGGGCAUGAGAGCAGAAAGCACAUCCAAUUGCUUUAACUGCAUAAGCCUUGAGAAAUGGAGUGCAGUUUGUCUUCAAGCAAGGCAAAACAGUGAUCUGAGUUUUUUAAGCACAAGAUUACAUUUUCAGCCACUGCUGGAGGAAGUCAGCAUAACCAAGUGGAAUAAUGAGAAACGAGAUGUCCGAACAAUCAUGCAUAAAGCACAUGAGAUGAAAGUGUUCGGUGACAAGGAUUUUUGUCUCCCAUCUGUAACGUUAUAUCUAGGACAUUCAUUUGCUGUGCAUGUGAUUUCAGAGCUCUGAUGAUUAA
This is a long non-coding RNA of Micropterus dolomieu (smallmouth bass), 2264 nucleotides long. RefSeq lists it as uncharacterized. Lineage: Eukaryota; Metazoa; Chordata; Actinopteri; Centrarchiformes; Centrarchidae. The transcript has 4 exons. The record is from RefSeq and is a predicted model, not a curated record.